Ananas comosus (pineapple) is the source of this 1065-nucleotide long non-coding RNA. RefSeq lists it as uncharacterized. The record is from RefSeq and is a predicted model, not a curated record. The transcript has 2 exons. NCBI's taxonomy places the organism in Eukaryota, Viridiplantae, Streptophyta, Magnoliopsida, Poales, Bromeliaceae.
AUACUUGGGGUAAUCAAAAUAAAUCUGCCUGUUCUAACAUGUUAAUGGAAAUAAAUCUACUUGUUCUAACAUGUUAGUGGAAAUAAAAGAAGCCGGGCAGAGAAAUUAUUUUCUGCUCAAGAUUCUACAUUCUUGAUAUUAUUAAAACAAAAGAAAAAUGAUAAAUUUGGCUGCUGUAAAAUGUAAAAUGUUUCUUUGGGUUGAUUAUCCAGCAGCGAAUGUUUUAGAUUAUGCUUUUCCUUAAUUAACAAAGAAAAAUUUAGUUUGAUCACAGAACUAGUUCCUGAAUUUUGACCCUGGUUUCAAUUGUAGUGUCAGAACUGCUCUUGUAACAAUAUGGGAAACGGACUUUGGUUAGUACAAAACAUUACUUCCUUCCAUCAGCCCGUCUUCAUUGAUUUUGCUAGGGUCAAACAUCAGGGCCAUACGAUAGGGUAGAAUACGAUUGUACAUACAUAGCCUUUAAAGUUAGAUACAUGGGAAAGAUUCAGUGGCUACUGGAGAUUACUUCCAGGUGAAUACUUUCAUACACUGCCAGUGAAGAUUGCAGAGUCUCCACUGUCGCAGUUUAUUAUUGGUUUUGGCCGAAUGGACCUCUUUUCUUCAUUCAGCUGCUGGCAACGCGGUCAGUGGUUGCAACUUUUGACUUUUAGAGAAUCGAUAUAUAUAUACAUGUAUAUUUAGAUGUAAUCGGUGAAGGCAUAUAUUCCUAACAUUAAAGAUGGCGUAAACAGUAGGUUCUCUUAGGAAUAUAUAUUCUACAACAGUUGCUCUCUUAGAACAGUAAAAGCUAAAAUUCAUUGAGAAUCGUGAAGGAGGCAUGGCUGGCGGAUUUUUCACAACGUAUGUGGUUAACCCCUGAUGUUUUAUUGGCUAAUAUGACCUAAACCAAUGUGACAUUCUUCUCAUGAUGCUGAUCAUCACGCUUGGACCUCGUUUGGAUAUAUAGAUAUUAUAGAUAUUUUAUUCGAGCUUUUUUCAAAUUUAUGCAAGAAAUAUGUGAUUGAAGCAUGAUUAAAUUAUUAAAGUAAAUAUACAACUCAGUUUUAAGUUAUGUUUUUAAAA